GAUGAAGAACGCAGCGAAAUGCGAUAAGUAAUGUGAAUUGCAGAAUUCAGUGAAUCAUCGAAUCUUGAACGCACAUUGCGCCCCCUGGUAUUCCGGGGGGCAUGCCUGUUCGAGCGUCAUUUCACCACUCAAGCCUCGCUUGGUAUUGGGCAACGCGGUCCGCCGCGUGCCUCAAAUCGACCGGCUGGGUCUUCUGUCCCCUAAGCGUUGUGGAAACUAUUCGCUAAAGGGUGUUCGGGAGGCUACGCCGUAAAACAACCCCAUUUCUAAGGUUGACCUCGGAUCAGGUAGGGAUACCCGCUGAACUUAAGCAUAUCAAUAAGCGGAGGA
This 330-nucleotide unclassified non-coding RNA is filed under the name soil metagenome. Its description in RNAcentral is "partial contains 5.8S ribosomal RNA, internal transcribed spacer 2, and large subunit ribosomal RNA". The stretch from base 1 to 119 matches the Rfam family "5.8S ribosomal RNA", at positions 35 to 154 of the family's 154-position model. The record is from RNAcentral.